CGAGAAGCUGCGACGGUGCCCCGCGUGAGCCACGGCAACCCGUAUCCACUCCAUCAGGGGAGGCAGCACAAUGAAUGGCCUGGGAAAAGCACACAGACAUGAGUGCUGUGGUAGAGCAGCAGCAAAAUCACAGAAGAGCAGAAGAAUGAACAAACCUAAAUAAACUGCAGCCCCCCGCAGGUGGAGGUACCAGAGGAGCACUGGCUUCACAGACAGCACCUGGCACAUGACAAACGUCUCCGUUGCAUCCCAGCUGGAUGAGUUAGAGACAGCGGACCCCACGAACAGGUCCAAAUCCUCUCCUGUACCUCCACGCCUGCCAAAAGAGCCACCUACAUGGUACCUGGGGCCAUCAGAUAACCCGUCCCAGCAGGACUGGCUUGCGUUGGUGCCAACAGCACAGCCAAAAAGGCAGGGAGUUUAUUGAAAACUGAUCAGAUUGAAAAAAGCACAUGAUUCUGGAGGGUGCGGGGGAUGUCACACAUCUGUCUUCUGGUUGGGUUUACUGGAGUUGAGGAAGCGGGGAAUCUUUUCCAGAUCUGCUGAGAAAUCCUGGCCACUUUCCAUCUCCCUCCUUGAAAGCAGCCGUUCCCCCCUUCCCCCAGCUUCACGGCACAACCAUUUCCCCCUUUUAUUUUAUGCACGGAUAACCACUGUUAUAAAUACACCUCAUUCUUAUUUCUCUACCUCCGUGAAGAGCAAACGCUGAGAAACGCUCCCUAGAAAAUUCUCCCUAGAAGCGAGGGCUGGAUUUAUUCAAAGGUAAACGUCCCCUUUUAUGCAUCCCAGGAAACUUUGCAGGAGGUACAGAUUUUUUGUGCUAGGAAGCGCUAAGCCAGGCAGGCCCUACCACUGCACCAGCUGUAGGGAUUAAGCUCCAGCUUCCCUCCUGUACCCAGCUGCUGCAGAAGCACACACAGAGCCUUCGCAGCUCCCUAGCUCAACUUUGCUUCAGAGCCCAAGUCCUGGUGGACUGGAGAUGGGUAGGAAGGACAGGAGCAGCUCCUGUGGGGCCACCGAGACCUGCAAGCACUGGGGGAGCUCCCUGGUCACACUCCGCAACCCUCUGCAGCCUGGGCAUGCACGGUCAGAAGAGGAGGCCAAAACGGUAGCCAAGUUGUCCUUACGUGAGCCAAGGACAGCCCCUGUUCCAUGGAAAUCCUGUCUAUGGCCAGAUCCACUCGGUUUCUGGCUUCUCAGCACCAGCAGGGACCCAGAGAGGCCAGGGAAGGGGGAAAAAGCCUCGACUGCCUUCCUUCUCUCUGUGCUUUUCCAACAUAAAAGUCAUUGUCACAGCCCGAGAAGAUGAGAGGGAAUAGGGAACAGAGAGAAGGCAUAAAGCUUGCAAAUAUUCUGCAUAUAAAAGUGUCAUGUUUAACAAACCCGCUCCCUCAUAAGGCAUAAAAACCCAUCCCGAAAACCGAAAACACCAGAAAUCAGUCACGGACCAUAAAGCAUGGCCGCAUGUAGGGAACAGCACCGAUAAUCUUUGACAGAAAAUACGAAGGGAGGCUUCUCGGAGCACUAAAUA
This is a long non-coding RNA of Anas platyrhynchos (mallard), 1531 nucleotides long. RefSeq lists it as uncharacterized. The record is from RefSeq and is a predicted model, not a curated record. NCBI's taxonomy places the organism in Eukaryota, Metazoa, Chordata, Aves, Anseriformes, Anatidae.